This 492-nucleotide ribosomal RNA is filed under the name uncultured bacterium. RNAcentral describes it as "partial 16S ribosomal RNA". It matches the Rfam family "Bacterial small subunit ribosomal RNA", at positions 29 to 507 of the family's 1533-position model. The record is from RNAcentral.
AGUGAACGCUGGCGGUAGGCCUAACACAUGCAAGUCGAACGGCAGCACAGUAAGAGCUUGCUCUUACGGGUGGCGAGUGGCGGACGGGUGAGGAAUACAUCGGAAUCUACUUUUUCGUGGGGGAUAACGUAGGGAAACUUACGCUAAUACCGCAUACGACCUACGGGUGAAAGCAGGGGAUCUUCGGACCUUGCGCGAUUGAAUGAGCCGAUGUCGGAUUAGCUAGUUGGCGGGGUAAAGGCCCACCAAGGCGACGAUCCGUAGCUGGUCUGAGAGGAUGAUCAGCCACAUUGGAACGGAGACACGGUCCAGACUCCUACGGGAGGCAGCAGUGGGGAAUAUUGGACAAUGGGCGCAAGCCUGAUCCAGCCAUACCGCGUGGGUGAAGAAGGCCUUCGGGUUGUAAAGCCCUUUUGUUGGGAAAGAAAAGCAGCAGGUUAAUACCCCGCUGUUCUGACGGUACCCAAAGAAGAAGCACCGGCUAACUUCGUG